RNAcentral lists this small RNA (119 nucleotides) under uncultured Mailhella sp. RNAcentral's name for it is "STnc490 Hfq binding RNA". It matches the Rfam family "STnc490 Hfq binding RNA". The record is from RNAcentral. Lineage: Bacteria; Pseudomonadati; Thermodesulfobacteriota; Desulfovibrionia; Desulfovibrionales; Desulfovibrionaceae.
CCCCCAGCUAGGCUGGGGGUUCAAAAAAGCUUUCAGCUUUACCUAUAUUGUAAAAACUCCUUUUGAUUUGUUAGCGUUGAGCUGCGGUCUGGCAACUGCGGUCAACAACAAAUCAAAAG